CAGCACCUCAAGUGGUCAGGAUGAUUAUUGAGCCUAAAGCGUCCGUAGCCGGACUAGUAAACCCUUGGGUAAAUUGGGCAGCUUAACUGUCCAAAUUCCGAGGGGACUGCUAGUCUUGGGACCGGGAGAGGUCAGAGGUACUCAAGGGGUAGGGGCUAAAUCCUGUAAUCCUUUGGGGACCACCAGUGGCGAAGGCGUCUGACUAGAACGGAUCCGACGGUAAGGGACGAAACCCUGGGGCGCGAACCGGAUUAGAUACCCGAGUAGUCC
RNAcentral lists this ribosomal RNA (270 nucleotides) under uncultured archaeon. RNAcentral's name for it is "partial 16S ribosomal RNA". It matches the Rfam family "Archaeal small subunit ribosomal RNA", at positions 477 to 747 of the family's 1478-position model. The record is from RNAcentral.